RNAcentral lists this long non-coding RNA (446 nucleotides) under Helianthus annuus (common sunflower). Its description in RNAcentral is "sRNA HanXRQr2_Chr13g0615021". The record is from RNAcentral. Lineage: Eukaryota; Viridiplantae; Streptophyta; Magnoliopsida; Asterales; Asteraceae.
UGGCCCCGAAUCUCUCAUAUUCCCUGCAUCGAAAUUGAAGACUAAUUGAAAGAAAGGCAAUCUAGGCUGUAUUGUGAACUCUAAAGUGUGAUAAGGAAUUAACGGAGAUUGAAGACCAAGAUUAUCACACCAGAGGCUAAGUUAGAGUAAAAGGGUCAAAGUGGCUGAUGAGUUUCCAGACGAAGACUAAACAAAUGAACAAGGGACAAGAUGAGUUCUAGAUGGAAUAUUUAGGUGGAAGGUAACAAAUGAUGCUUAAUCUUUACGUUGAUGGUGGUAUGGAGUUGGUCCAUGAUUUACCAGACUCGUAUUUGGCGCAACUAGACACACAGAAGUGAGCUAGAAAAUGGCUUAAAACUGAAAAGGGCAUAACUUUCAUCACAUGUGGAGUUACACGUCUCAACGAGCCACGUGCUUGGACAAAUGUAAUAGACAAAACCCGACUC